This 253-nucleotide ribosomal RNA is filed under the name uncultured bacterium. RNAcentral describes it as "partial 16S ribosomal RNA". It matches the Rfam family "Bacterial small subunit ribosomal RNA", at positions 524 to 776 of the family's 1533-position model. The record is from RNAcentral.
UACGAAGGGGGCUAGCGUUGUUCGGAGUUACUGGGCGUAAAGGGCGCGUAGGCGGCGCAUCAAGUCAGGCGUGAAAGCCCUGGGCUCAACCCGGGAAUUGCGCUUGAGACUGGUGUGCUUGAGUACGGGAGAGGAUAGUGGAAUUCCCAGUGUAGAGGUGAAAUUCGUAGAUAUUGGGAAGAACACCAGUGGCGAGGGCGGCUAUCUGGACCGUAACUGACGCUGAGGCGCGAAAGCGUGGGGAGCAAACAGG